GCCGGCUUAGCUCAAUUGGUAGAGCACCUGACUUGUAAUCAGGGGGUUGUGGGUUCGAUUCCUAUCGCCGGCACCA
RNAcentral lists this transfer RNA (76 nucleotides) under compost metagenome. RNAcentral describes it as "tRNA-Thr". It matches the Rfam family "tRNA". From Rfam's summary of the family: Transfer RNA (tRNA) molecules are approximately 80 nucleotides in length. Their secondary structure includes four short double-helical elements and three loops (D, anti-codon, and T loops). The record is from RNAcentral.